GGGCCAGUGGCUCAGUUGGUAGAGCGCCUCGUUCGCAUCGAGGAGGUCGGGGGUUCGAGUCCCCCCUGGUCCACCA
Molecule: transfer RNA, 76 nt
Filed under: Pseudomonadota bacterium
Lineage: Bacteria; Pseudomonadati; Pseudomonadota
Also listed under: 1 other name
Description: tRNA-Ala
Rfam family: tRNA
About the family: Transfer RNA (tRNA) molecules are approximately 80 nucleotides in length. Their secondary structure includes four short double-helical elements and three loops (D, anti-codon, and T loops).
Source: RNAcentral